AGCUUAGUUGCCAUCAUUAAGUUGGGCACUCUAAGUUGACUGCCGGUGACAAACCGGAGGAAGGUGGGGAUGACGUCAAAUCAUCAUGCCCCUUAUGAUUUGGGCUACACACGUGCUACAAUGGACAAUACAAAGGGCAGCGAAACCGCGAGGUCAAGCAAAUCCCAUAAAGUUGUUCUCAGUUCGGAUUGUAGUCUGCAACUCGACUACAUGAAGCUGGAAUCGCUAGUAAUCGUAGAUCAGCAUGCUACGGUGAAUACGUUCCCGGGUCUUGUACACACCGCCCGUCACACCACGAGAGUUUGUAACACCCGAAGCCGGUGGAGUAACCUUUUAGGAGCUAGCCGUCGAAGGUGGGACAAAUGAUUGGGGUGAAGUCGUAACAAGGUAGCCGUAUCGGAAGGUGCGGCUGGAUCACCUCCUUU
This 425-nucleotide ribosomal RNA is filed under the name Acinetobacter baumannii. Its description in RNAcentral is "partial 16S ribosomal RNA". It matches the Rfam family "Bacterial small subunit ribosomal RNA", at positions 1108 to 1533 of the family's 1533-position model. The record is from RNAcentral. RNAcentral also lists the same sequence under 1 other name. Lineage: Bacteria; Pseudomonadati; Pseudomonadota; Gammaproteobacteria; Moraxellales; Moraxellaceae.